This 60-nucleotide microRNA precursor is filed under the name Scyliorhinus torazame (cloudy catshark). Its description in RNAcentral is "Sto-Mir-103-P1_pre stem-loop". It matches the Rfam family "mir-103/107 microRNA precursor family", at positions 11 to 70 of the family's 78-position model. From Rfam's summary of the family: This family consists of the mammalian microRNA (miRNA) precursors mir-103 and mir107. Animal miRNAs are transcribed as ~70nt precursors and subsequently processed by the Dicer enzyme to give a ~22nt product. In this case the mature sequence comes from the 3' arm of the precursor. The record is from RNAcentral. Lineage: Eukaryota; Metazoa; Chordata; Chondrichthyes; Carcharhiniformes; Scyliorhinidae.
AGCUUCUUUACAGUGUUGCCUUGUAGCAUGGAGAUCAAGCAGCAUUGUACAGGGCUAUCA